UACGGAGGGUGCAAGCGUUAUCCGGAUUCACUGGGUUUAAAGGGUGCGUAGGAGGGCAGGUAAGUCAGUGGUGAAAUCCCCAAGCUUAACUUGGGAACUGCCGUUGAUACUAUCUGUCUUGAAUACCGUUGGAGGUGAGCGGAAUAUGUCAUGUAGCGGUGAAAUGCUUAGAUAUGACAUAGAACACCAAUUGCGAAGGCAGUUCGCUACACGAAUAUUGACUCUGAGGCACGAAAGCGUGGGGAUCAAACAGGA
Molecule: ribosomal RNA, 255 nt
Filed under: uncultured bacterium
Lineage: Bacteria
Description: partial 16S ribosomal RNA
Rfam family: Bacterial small subunit ribosomal RNA
Source: RNAcentral